This 634-nucleotide ribosomal RNA is filed under the name Coleophoma cylindrospora. RNAcentral describes it as "partial large subunit ribosomal RNA". It matches the Rfam family "Eukaryotic large subunit ribosomal RNA", at positions 56 to 706 of the family's 3401-position model. Lineage: Eukaryota; Fungi; Ascomycota; Leotiomycetes; Helotiales; Dermateaceae. The record is from RNAcentral.
AAGUAGANNAACAGGGAUUACCUCAGUAACGGCGAGUGAAGCGGUAACAGCUCAAAUUUGAAAUCUGGGUCUUUCAGGCUCCGAGUUGUAAUUUGUAGAAGAUGCUUCGGGUGCGGCUCCGGUCUAAGUUCCUUGGAACAGGACGUCAUAGAGGGUGAGAAUCCCGUAUGUGAUCGGCUGCUUGCGCCCAUGUGAAGCUCUUUCGACGAGUCGAGUUGUUUGGGAAUGCAGCUCAAAAUGGGUGGUAAAUUUCAUCUAAAGCUAAAUAUUGGCCAGAGACCGAUAGCGCACAAGUAGAGUGAUCGAAAGAUGAAAAGCACUUUGGAAAGAGAGUUAAACAGUACGUGAAAUUGUUGAAAGGGAAGCGCUUGCAACCAGACUUGCGCGUUGUUGAUCAUCUGGGGUUCUCCCCAGUGCACUCGACCUCGCUCAGGCCAGCAUCGGUUUCGGUGGUUGGAUAAAGGCCUUGGGAAUGUAGCUUCCUUCGGGGAGUGUUAUAGCCCUCGGUGCAAUGCAGCCUACCGGGACCGAGGACCGCGCUUCGGCUAGGAUGCUGGCGUAAUGGUUGUAAGCGACCCGUCUUGAAACACGGACCAAGGAGUCUAACAUCUAUGCGAGUGUUGGGGGUGGAAAA